RNAcentral lists this ribosomal RNA (1208 nucleotides) under uncultured Campylobacterota bacterium. RNAcentral's name for it is "bacterial SSU rRNA". It matches the Rfam family "Bacterial small subunit ribosomal RNA", at positions 234 to 1500 of the family's 1533-position model. The record is from RNAcentral. Lineage: Bacteria; Pseudomonadati; Campylobacterota.
GGGCCUUUUUUUCCGGUUGGGGGUAAGCCUCCAACCAAGCAUUAAUGUUGGAAGGAAUCAUUGCCCGGAAUGGCCCCGUCCAAAUCUUCCGGAGCACCAGGGGGAAUUGCCAAAUGGGGGACCCUGAGCAGCACCCCGGUGAGGAUGCCCAUUCGGGGGUAAACUCCUUUUAAAGGGAAGAUAAUGCGGGUCCCAUAGAAUAAGCCCCCGGCUAACUCCGGGCCAGCAGCCGCGGUAAUACGGAGGGCGCAAGCGUUACUCGGAAUCCCUGGGCGGUAAGGCGCAUGCAGGGGGCUUUGUAAGUGGAAGUGGAAUCCACUGGCUUAACCAGUGAACUGCUUCCAAAACUACUUAGCUAGAGUCUGGGAGGGGAAGAUGGAAUUAGUAGUGUAGGGGUAAAUCCGUAGAGAUUACUAGGAAUACCAAAAGCGAAGGCGAUCUUCUGGAACAGUACUGACGCUGAGAUGCGAAAGCGUGGGGAGCAAACAGGAUUAGAUACCCUGGUAGUCCACGCAGUAAACGAUGAAUGUUAGUCGUCGGUAUGCAAGUCAUAUCGGUGAUGCAGUUAACACAUUAAACAUUCCGCCUGGGGAGUACGGUCGCAAGAUUAAAACUCAAAGGAAUAGACGGGGACCCGCACAAGUGGUGGAGCAUGUGGUUUAAUUCGAAGAUACGCGAAGAACCUUACCUAGCCUUGACAUUGAAAGAAUACUAUAGAGAUAUGGUAGUGCCCUUUUGGGAGCUUGAAAACAGGUGCUGCACGGCUGUCGUCAGCUCGUGUCGUGAGAUGUUGGGUUAAGUCCCGCAACGAGCGCAACCCUCGUCACUAGUUACUAACGGUUCGGCCGAGGACUCUAGUGAGACUGCCUUCGUAAGGAGGAGGAAGGUGAGGACGACGUCAAGUCAUCAUGGCCCUUACGGCUAGGGCUACACACGUGCUACAAUGGUUAGGACAAUGAGAAGCGAUACCGCGAGGUGGAGCAAAUCUAUAAACCUAAUCUCAGUUCGGAUAGGACUCUGCAACUCGAGUCCUUGAAGCUGGAAUCACUAGUAAUCGUAGAUCAGCAAUGCUACGGUGAAUACGUUCCCGGGUCUUGUACUCACCGCCCGUCACACCAUGGGAGUUGAUUUCACCCGAAGCGGGGAAGCUAAACUGGCUACCCUCCACGGUGGAAUUAGCGACUGGGGUGAAGUCGUAACAAGGUUUA